CGAUACAAAAUAACCCUAGCAACACAAAAGAAGAGGCAAUUGAAGAAACUAAUAAAGUGCAAGGGGAAGAACUGCUUUGAUAACAGCAAAUCCAUUAAAAUGCCUCGUGAAAAUGAAAGAAACUACACUGAUUGUGAGAAGUUUUUGAUAUGUAUAACAUGUGGCCUAGCUUAUCUCUGCCUUUAAAAAAACUGAACUUAAAUACAUUAUAGUCCAAAUGCUGAUACUAAAUAUUAGUGCUUAUAAUUUAGAUGUAAUUUUUAUCCUUGCUGCUACUUUACAUUUUAACAAAAGUUUUGAAUAAGUCAAAAUUCCAUGCUUAAGUAGAAUUGUUUCUGGCAGUUAUUGCAGAAAUGAUACUGACUUUCUAGCAAUCAAAGAAUAUAAUCAAGCUCUAGUAUAGCAGCACAAACAUAGACAUAGGCAUAGUUUUUCAAAUACAACAUACGCAGCCUGUACAUGUAACAACAUACAAAUAAAAGAACUAUCAUAAAAUGCAGCUACCAAGUACUUUAUGAAGGCCAUUAAAGGAACAGCAGUAUUCAUUUAUCGACACAACCUAUAUCACAUUGGUAGCAAACUACUCCCACUGUAUAAAGAUGGGCGUUAACUUCAAAUUGGACAUAGCCGGUAAAGUAAACAGCAAGGGGGAUUACCCCUAAAAAAUCCUCGGCAAACAAGCAAAGGUAUUAAGAAAAAUUUGGACUUCAAAGAAGUCAUAAACAGAGUAACAAACUUCAUCAUUUAAAACCAGAAUGCCAGGGAGGAAUCGAUCAAAUCAAGGAAAGAAUGUAGUCAUGUGUGCUGUGGGUGGAGGAGCAGUUGGUGUAUGUGUUUCUCUUGGAAUGAAGAAAGGAGCGGUUGUAGGGACAGUGAUUGGAGGGCCCGGUGGGGCCGUGGUUUGUGGAUUGGUUGGAGCUGGUAUUGGUGCUUACAUUGGAUCUAAAAUAUAGUGACUUAAUUUUAAAUAAAAAAUACGUAUAUAUGUGUAUAUGCUGCUCUUGAUAGUUUGUGUUAAUGCUAUAACAAAUUUUAAUGCACAGAAA
This is a long non-coding RNA of Amphimedon queenslandica, 1046 nucleotides long. RefSeq lists it as uncharacterized. The transcript has 3 exons. The record is from RefSeq and is a predicted model, not a curated record. NCBI's taxonomy places the organism in Eukaryota, Metazoa, Porifera, Demospongiae, Haplosclerida, Niphatidae.